Molecule: long non-coding RNA, 643 nt
Filed under: Panax ginseng (ginseng)
Lineage: Eukaryota; Viridiplantae; Streptophyta; Magnoliopsida; Apiales; Araliaceae
Description: long non-coding RNA (PGIN_LNC004865)
Source: RNAcentral
UUCAUUCUGUGUACCUGGCUGACUCAAUGUCCCCAUAGCAAAUAAUGGCAAAAAUACAAAAAACUAAAAUAUUAUUAACUUAAUAAAAUCAUCCACUACAUAAUCAUUCAUUAUCUUUACAAUUAACCAUCUAAAGCUACCACAAUUCUUCAAUCAAAGUAUAUAUCUACAUAUAUAGAGAGAGUACACUUCAUAAUUUUGUCUCUAAACUACAGGGAGAGAAUGCUUGCACUUCUCCAACAUGCUCACUAUCAAAUCUUCCUGCAAUUACACAAGAAUUCGUAUUGAUUGCUAUUAUAUUAUUUAUAAUUCAUGAACAUGUACUAGAACUACACAACAAAAUAAUCUGGCCAGAAGGAAAAUUGCACGGAUAGUGUUAUAUGACUCUUGGCAUUUCUACGUAGAGAAUCCCUGCCCUGUUUUCCACAUCGUUAUUUCCUGUAAGGUGCCUUCUUUCCCAAAAGCGGAAGCUAGUUCAUCAUAACCUUAAGUGGUCACAUGAUGAGCGAUAAUACACCUGGAGGUAAUUCUUAAAAUGUCACUCAGCAAUCACUAAAAAUGUUGUGUUACUAUAGUUACAUCUUGCAGAUCAACACAAAGGCUACCCAUAAAAUCCAUGAACCCAUGGAAGAGUUCUUNNNNN